This 100-nucleotide non-coding RNA is filed under the name Jeotgalicoccus saudimassiliensis. Its description in RNAcentral is "SAM riboswitch aptamer (S box leader)". It matches the Rfam family "SAM riboswitch aptamer (S box leader)". From Rfam's summary of the family: The SAM riboswitch is found upstream of a number of genes which code for proteins involved in methionine or cysteine biosynthesis in Gram-positive bacteria. The SAM riboswitch acts at the level of transcription termination control. Lineage: Bacteria; Bacillati; Bacillota; Bacilli; Caryophanales; Staphylococcaceae. The record is from Rfam by way of RNAcentral. RNAcentral also lists the same sequence under 1 other name.
UUCUUAUCAAGAGAGAUGGAGGGACUGGCCCUGUGAAAUCUCGGCAACAGACUUAAUUGUACUGUGCCAAAUCCUGUAGCAUUACGCUAAAAGAUGAGAA